This 490-nucleotide ribosomal RNA is filed under the name uncultured bacterium. RNAcentral's name for it is "partial 16S ribosomal RNA". It matches the Rfam family "Bacterial small subunit ribosomal RNA", at positions 30 to 507 of the family's 1533-position model. The record is from RNAcentral.
AUUGAACGCUGGCGGCAGGCCUAACACAUGCAAGUCGAACGGUAACAGGAAACAGCUUGCUGUUUCGCUGACGAGUGGCGGACGGGUGAGUAAUGUCUGGGAAACUGCCUGAUGGAGGGGGAUAACUACUGGAAACGGUAGCUAAUACCGCAUAACGUCGCAAGACCAAAGAGGGGGACCUUCGGGCCUCUUGCCAUCGGAUGUGCCCAGAUGGGAUUAGCUAGUAGGUGGGGUAACGGCUCACCUAGGCGACGAUCCCUAGCUGGUCCGAGAGGAUGACCAGCCACACUGGAACUGAGACACGGUCCAGACUCCUACGGGAGGCAGCAGUGGGGAAUAUUGCACAAUGGGCGCAAGCCUGAUGCAGCCAUGCCGCGUGUAUGAAGAAGGCCUUCGGGUUGUAAAGUACUUUCAGCGGGGAGGAAGGGAGUAAAGUUAAUACCUUUACUCAUUGACGUUACCCGCAGAAGAAGCACCGGCUAACUCCGUG